UGGGGAAUAUUGGACAAUGGGGGAAACCCUGAUCCAGCAAUGCCGCGUGAGUGAAGAAGGCCUUAGGGUUGUAAAACUCUUUCACCGGGGAAGAUGAUGACGGUACCCGGAGAAGAAGCCCCGGCUAACUCCGUGCCAGCAGCCGCGGUAAUACGGAGGGGGCUAGCGUUGUUCGGAAUUACUGGGCGUAAAGCGCACGUAGGCGGUUUUCCAAGUCAGAUGUGAAAUCCCCGGGCUUAACCUGGGAACUGCAUUUGAUACUGGAUGACUAGAGGCCGGGAGAGGGUAGUGGAAUUCCCAGUGUAGAGGUGAAAUUCGUAGAUAUUGGGAAGAACACCGGUGGCGAAGGCGGCUACCUGGACCGGUACUGACGCUGAGGUGCGAAAGCGUGGGGAGCAAACAGG
RNAcentral lists this ribosomal RNA (404 nucleotides) under uncultured bacterium. Its description in RNAcentral is "bacterial SSU rRNA". It matches the Rfam family "Bacterial small subunit ribosomal RNA", at positions 355 to 776 of the family's 1533-position model. The record is from RNAcentral.